This 324-nucleotide long non-coding RNA is filed under the name Populus trichocarpa (black cottonwood). RNAcentral describes it as "long non-coding RNA (PTRI_LNC000151)". The record is from RNAcentral. Lineage: Eukaryota; Viridiplantae; Streptophyta; Magnoliopsida; Malpighiales; Salicaceae.
UUUUUUAUCCUUUUCAUUAUUAUUAUUUUUUUAUUUUGUUCUUGGGAGUUUGAUUUAUUUAUUUUUGGUUUUCAAUUUUGGUCUUUAUUUUUUUAUUACUCUUUUUUUUUAUCCUUUUCUUCAUUUAUUUUGUUUUUCAAUUUAGUCCCUUAUUAGUUUCUUUCAAUUAUUUAUGUGCAUUGUUUAGUCCUCAUUGUUUUAAUUUUAGUUAUUUAAAAUUUAAUUUUUGUAUGGUUUUAAAUUUUUCUUUAUGGUUUUUUCAUGUUUGCCUUUUACAUGGUAAUCCUAGUCUCAUAACAUAGUCCACCAGUUUCGACGAUAAAC